UCAGUCUCCUUCUGGGAGCAGGAAGUGCUCUUAGUCGCUGAGCCAUCUUUCCAGAAUGUUCUUCCUGAAGACAGUUUGAACAAUGAAUUGGACAAGAGCAAAAUGCCACACAGAAUGUCCAUUACUAAAGAUUAAAGAACUUUUCAAUGUUCAUGCUGUAGACGACAAGAAUAUGAACUAGGAUUAGAAAAUUCAGGAAGUAAGCCCAGAAGGACUUGGUGACCGACCACAUGUCCAAGUGAAGGAGGGAUUCCUUAAUGGCCAACAUAGCAACUAGCAGUUCUCAUAGUCCGAAAUGUCUACCCUCUGCCUUGAGGUCUCCACUAAUGAUCAAAACCAAAUUCUGCUACAAAAGAUAGUAGAGGGAACAAUAGAAGGAAUAAACCUGCAAGGGUAAAAAUAGAAUUCACUUAAA
This is a non-coding RNA of Peromyscus maniculatus bairdii (prairie deer mouse), 415 nucleotides long. Lineage: Eukaryota; Metazoa; Chordata; Mammalia; Rodentia; Cricetidae. The record is from RefSeq and is a predicted model, not a curated record.